Oncorhynchus tshawytscha (Chinook salmon) is the source of this 2032-nucleotide long non-coding RNA. The record is from Ensembl. NCBI's taxonomy places the organism in Eukaryota, Metazoa, Chordata, Actinopteri, Salmoniformes, Salmonidae.
GUUCAGAUUGAGCUGUACUGGUAAACUAGGUUCAGAUUUAGCUGUACAUCUAAACUAGGUUCAGAUUUAGCUGUACAGGUAAACUAGGUUCAGAUUGAGCUGUACUGGUAAACUAGGUUCAGAUUUAGCUGUACAUCUAAACUAGGUUCAGAUUUAGCUGUACAGGAAAACUAGGUUCAGAUUGAGCUGUACAGGUAAACUCGGUUCAGAUUUAGCUGUACAGGUAAACUAGGUUCAGAUUUAGCUGUACAGGUAAACUAGGUUCAGUUUUAGCUGUACAGGUAAACUCGGUUCAGAUUUAGCUGUACAGGAAAACUAGGUUCAGAUUUAGCUGUACAGGUAAACUAGGUUCAGAUUGAGCUGUACAGGUAAACUCGGUUCAGAUUGAGCUGUACAGGUAAACUAGAGCUGGUAAAAAAGGAUUAAACCCUAAUAUGAUGUUAAAACAUUGUGGUUUAAGCCCUAGAUUAGGGUUUGUAGAGCCUAAAUAAUUCACAAUGAAAUUAUGUAAAGUAACAUAAAAAAUGAUAGGUUAGAAAAACAUAAUAUUGCCAGGACGAAUCCAUGAGGACAAGAGUUAGGUUCAAUCAGGUAAGAGUUAACCUAGCUUGUAGAUAAAGGUGUAUUAUUACUCUUAAAAAUGUAUUUGUAAAAAUGUAUUUUGUUCUUUUAUUUUGUUGUACAGUUAUAUUUUUUAAAUAUUUUUUUUCUUAUUUUUAUUUUAUUUUACAUAAAUGAUUUAAAUAUUUUGUUAUCUCUAAAUUAAAUAUAAUUUAAAAUCUUCAAUAAUUAAUUUUGAAAGAUAGGGGUUGAAAUAUGGAUGUUAAACAGCUGUACUUUAAGACAUUAUUGCGUUAAUAACAACCAUUUUCAAAUGUGAGUUAGUAUCAUGUUAUGGGCAAAGGACAUAACAUAUCAUAUUAUGUUAAAUGCCAGUUAUGGGGAUAAAUACCUGCCCAAAUUAUUAUGAAUAUAACCAUAUAUUUGUUCUUGUGUUUUGGCACAUAUCUAUCUUCAUAACUUGAGGAAAGAUGUCAGUUGUGCAGAAAAUUUGCAGGAAAUGUGCAGGAAAUGCAGGAUAUGCAGAUGAGGAUGAGGGUUUUGUUAGUCUUCCAGGUACAGUUUGCUCUUCAUUGACAUCCUCCUGCAGGGUCAUACUACGGGACAGACAGUAUUGUACUGUAGUAGAGGUCUUAGUGAUGGAUAGAGCAGGGGGAGAGAGAGAGAGAGAAAAGAUACAGAGACAUUUGUAAAACGGUGCAGAUGGAUUUUCCCCCUCCUUCAUAAUUAGAAGUGUUUCAUUUAUUGUUAUAUAAUUUAAUCUUUAUAAUAGCUAGCGACCUCCUGUGGCCAAAAUACGGUACUGGUUCUGGUCUUGCCUCUCUACUUGGGAGUGAUAGGCAGAAUUAGAAAGAAGCUAAUGUAUUCUCUCUCUUCCUCGUCUCUCCUGUUCCUCUCGUCCAUGUUCCGAUAGAAGUAAACUGUUCCUCAUUCUGUAUUCCGUAUCACCGUGGCACCACUACUGUUCUCCGUGCCCAUAUGACGUGUGUAACACGUCCGUGUCCAUGCUAUAUCAACGUGCUCUGGAUGUUAAUAACAAAGUGCUCAUGUGAUCAUACUUCAAAUGUCUCCUUUGUCUUUUGUUUCUGUCACAAAAUGAUUUUCAUUUAUACAAAUGACUUGUGCCCCUCAUACGUGUUUGCGUCUCUAUAUGGCCACUAGAUGGGGCCAUUGUUCCACAUUCCUAAUUUGGAUACACCAGGUUCAAGGGCUUUACUGACCUGUGGUUCUGGAAGUUCACAUGCUGUCGGGCUGGAAACUUCUGUGGGACUUUAGGUUUACAUUACUGUUGAUGGAUUUGAAAGCUGCAACACAAGGACCUGGAAGGGAAGUGGUUGAAAACAGUAUCCACACUGUUUACUUGGUUCCACUUCUUUAAACUCUUUAAACUCUCUUUGACUUGUGUCGAAUGUAUUACUUUUUAAUUUAACCUUUAUUAAUCCAGGUAGUCUCAUUAACGAUGUAUUCAUCC